CCUACGGGCGGCUGCAGUGAGGAAUAUUGCGCAAUGGGGGCAACCCUGACGCAGCAACGCCGCGUGAGUGAGGAAGGUUUUCGGAUCGUAAAGCUCUGUCGGGUGGGAAGAAAUGUAUAGAGGUUAAUAGCCUUUGUACUUGACGGUACCGCCAAAGGAAGCACCGGCUAACUCCGUGCCAGCAGCCGCGGUAAUACGGGGGGUGCAAGCGUUGUUCGGAAUCAUUGGGCGUAAAGAGCGUGUAGGCGGCUAGGCAAGUCAGAUGUGAAAUCCCUGGGCUUAACCCAGGACGUGCAUUUGAAACUGCUUGGCUUGAGUAAGGAAGAGGGAAGUGGAAUUCCUGGUGUAGAGGUGAAAUUCGUAGAUAUCAGGAGGAACACCGGUGGCGAAGGCGACUUCCUGGUCCUAUACUGACGCUGAGACGCGAGAGCGUGGGGAGCAAACAGGAUUAGAUACCCGUGUAGUCAC
Molecule: ribosomal RNA, 468 nt
Filed under: uncultured Syntrophaceae bacterium
Lineage: Bacteria; Pseudomonadati; Thermodesulfobacteriota; Syntrophia; Syntrophales; Syntrophaceae
Description: bacterial SSU rRNA
Rfam family: Bacterial small subunit ribosomal RNA
Source: RNAcentral